Molecule: ribosomal RNA, 301 nt
Filed under: uncultured bacterium
Lineage: Bacteria
Description: partial 16S ribosomal RNA
Rfam family: Bacterial small subunit ribosomal RNA
Source: RNAcentral
CAGUAGCCACGGUAAUACGUAGGUGGCAAGCGUUAUCCGGAAUUAUUGGGCGUAAAGCGCGCGUAGGCGGUUUUUUAAGUCUGAUGUGAAAGCCCACGGCUCAACCGUGGAGGGUCAUUGGAAACUGGAAAACUUGAGUGCAGAAGAGGAAAGUGGAAUUCCAUGUGUAGCGGUGAAAUGCGCGGAGAUAUGGAGGAACACCAGUGGUGAAGGCGACUUUCUGGUCUGUAACUGACGCUGAUGUGCGAAAGCGUGGGGAUCAAACAGGAUUAGAUACCCGAGUAGUCCCUGUCUCUUAUAC